GAUGAACGCUGGCGGCGUGCCUAACACAUGCAAGUCGAACGGAGUCCAGCCUUUAAGACCUUCGGGUCAAAGAGGGGAAGACUGAGUGGCGGACGGGUGAGUAACACGUGGGCAACCUGGCUCAUAGAGGGGGAUAACAGAGAGAAAUUUUGCUAAUACCGCAUAAGCACACACUGCCGCAUGGCAGAGGGUGAAAAGAGAAUCGCUAUGAGAUGGACCCGCGUUGAUUAGCCAGUUGGCAGGGUAAGAGCCUACCAAAGCGACGAUCAGUAGCCGAUUGAGAGGAUGAACGGCCACAUUGGGACUGAGACACGGCCCAAACUCCUACGGGAGGCAGCAGUGGGGGAUAUUGCACAAUGGGGGGAACCCUGAUGCAGCGACGCCGCGUGAGUGGAGAAGUAUUUCGGUAUGUAAAGCUCUAUCAGCAGGGAAGAUAAUGACAGUACCUGAAUAAGAGCCCCGCA
Molecule: ribosomal RNA, 464 nt
Filed under: Oribacterium sp. oral taxon 372
Lineage: Bacteria; Bacillati; Bacillota; Clostridia; Lachnospirales; Lachnospiraceae
Description: bacterial SSU rRNA
Rfam family: Bacterial small subunit ribosomal RNA
Source: RNAcentral